GGAUGUGAGGGCAAUCUAGCUGUGACAUCUGUCACCUCAUGAAUCACCAAGGUUGAUUUGGCUGAUCUGGCUGGCUAGGCAAGUGUCCCCUUCCUCCCUCACUACUCCACAUGCGUCCCUCCCAAAGCUUGGUCGAAGAUGGCGACCUUCCCCGAAGAGACGAGGAGCGGUCUUCAGACAGGGCAUAUGAGUAGCUGCGCUCCCUGCUAGAACCUCCAAACCAGCUCUCAGAUGCCAGAUAAAGGUAUGCUAUUAAAUGUUAACAGGCUCCAGGAAAACACAAAAUGAGGAGACAGGAAUUAAAACAAAAUCAUAGCUUCUAGCUUCAUUCAUGCUCUAAUUU
RNAcentral lists this small nuclear RNA (343 nucleotides) under Jaculus jaculus (lesser Egyptian jerboa). RNAcentral's name for it is "7SK RNA (ENSJJAG00000007418.1)". The stretch from base 1 to 301 matches the Rfam family "7SK RNA". Rfam says of the family: 7SK was discovered as an abundant small nuclear RNA in the mid-70s but a possible function has only recently been suggested. Two independent studies have found that 7SK RNA binds the CDK9/cyclin T complex (known as elongation factor P-TEFb). Lineage: Eukaryota; Metazoa; Chordata; Mammalia; Rodentia; Dipodidae. The record is from RNAcentral.